UAUUUUCCCAGUGAGGAGACGCAAGCCUGGUUCUGCAAUUCUUUCCAGCUCUGGAGUCUGUUAUGGUUCCCAUCUGAGCUCUAAAGGUCCCAGGUGUGUGAUGGCGGCUGCAAUCUGUCUUGUGGGUAUUAAUGCAAUCUUCAGUGGUGGCUCCUGUUCUCUAGCUGUUCUACAAAACUGGAGCAUGCUGGCUUGAAAAAACCUUGCCCAGUUUUGAUCCCUUCAAGACUUUGUCACAGCCUCUAUCACACAUCUGUUUUUCUCGAAGAAAAAAAUAAUAAAAAUGUUUUACUCUUUUACACUGUAUAA
RNAcentral lists this small RNA (309 nucleotides) under Pan troglodytes (chimpanzee). Its description in RNAcentral is "processed transcript". Lineage: Eukaryota; Metazoa; Chordata; Mammalia; Primates; Hominidae. The record is from RNAcentral.